GAUGAACGCUGGCGGCGUGCCUAAUACAUGCAAGUCGAGCGAACAGACGAGGAGCUUGCUCCUCUGACGUUAGCGGCGGACGGGUGAGGAACACGUGGAUAACCUACCUAUAAGACUGGGAUAACUUCGGGAAACCGGAGCUAAUACCGGAUAAUAUAUUGAACCGCAUGGUUCAAUAGUGAAAGACGGUUUUGCUGUCACUUAUAGAUGGAUCAGCGCCGCAUUAGCUAGUUGGUAAGGUAACGGCUUACCAAGGCAACGAUGCGUAGCCGACCUGAGAGGGUGAUCGCCCACCCUGUCUCUGAGACACGUCCCAGACUCCUGCGGGAGGCAGCAGCAGGGAAUCUUCCGCAAUGGGCGAAAGCUUGACGGAGCAACGCCGCGUGAGUGAUGAAGGUCUUCGGAUCGUAAAACUCUGUUAGUCGGGAAGAACAAAUGUGUAAGUAACUAUGCACGUCUUGACGGUACCUAAUCAGAAAGCCACGGCUAACUACGUG
This 497-nucleotide ribosomal RNA is filed under the name uncultured bacterium. Its description in RNAcentral is "partial 16S ribosomal RNA". It matches the Rfam family "Bacterial small subunit ribosomal RNA", at positions 28 to 507 of the family's 1533-position model. The record is from RNAcentral.